Molecule: ribosomal RNA, 251 nt
Filed under: uncultured bacterium
Lineage: Bacteria
Description: partial 16S ribosomal RNA
Rfam family: Bacterial small subunit ribosomal RNA
Source: RNAcentral
CACGUAGGGCGCGAGCGUUGUCCGGAAUUAUUGGGCGUAAAGAGCUCGUAGGCGGCCUGUUGCGUCCGCUGUGAAAGCCCGGGGCUUAACCCCGGGUCGGCAGUGGAUACGGGCAGGCUAGAGGUAGGUAGGGGAGAAUGGAAUUCCCGGUGUAGCGGUGAAAUGCGCAGAUAUCGGGAGGAACACCGGUGGCGAGGCGACUACCUGGCCUGUUCUUGACGCUGAGGCGCGAAAGCUGGGGAGCAAACGGG